CCAUGUAGUUAAGUCACUGACAUGUGGGCCAUAGCAAAGUAGGACCCACAUGUCAGUGACUCAACUGCAUGU
RNAcentral lists this unclassified non-coding RNA (72 nucleotides) under Oryza sativa (Asian cultivated rice). RNAcentral describes it as "partial microRNA MIR474 precursor". Lineage: Eukaryota; Viridiplantae; Streptophyta; Magnoliopsida; Poales; Poaceae. The record is from RNAcentral.